CCUACGGGAGGCAGCAGUGGGGAAUAUUGCACAAUGGGGGAAACUCUGAUGCAGCGACGCCGCGUGAGUGAAGAAGUAAUUCGUUAUGUAAAGCUCUAUCAUCAGGGAAGAAAAGGACGGUACUUGCGUAAGAAUCCUCGGCAAACAACGUGCAGCCAGCCGCGGUAAUACGUAGGGGGCAAGCUGUAUCCGGAUUUAUUGGUGGUCAGGGGAGCGUAGACGGCAGUGCAUGUAUAGAGUGAAAAGCGAGGGCUCAACCCCCGGACUGCCCUGGAAACUGUACGGCUGGAGUGCAGGAGAGGUAAGUGGAAUUCCUAGGGUAGCGGUGGAAUGCGUAGAUAUUAGGAGGAACACCAGUGGCGAAGGCGACUUACUGGACUGUAACUGACGUUGAUGCUCGAAAGCGUGGGGAGCAAACAGGAUUAGAUACCCCAGUAGUC
RNAcentral lists this ribosomal RNA (440 nucleotides) under uncultured bacterium. Its description in RNAcentral is "partial 16S ribosomal RNA". It matches the Rfam family "Bacterial small subunit ribosomal RNA", at positions 338 to 795 of the family's 1533-position model. The record is from RNAcentral.